This 221-nucleotide ribosomal RNA is filed under the name uncultured bacterium. Its description in RNAcentral is "partial 16S ribosomal RNA". It matches the Rfam family "Bacterial small subunit ribosomal RNA", at positions 96 to 334 of the family's 1533-position model. The record is from RNAcentral.
CGGCAGACGGGUGAGUAACGCGUGGGAACAUACCUUUUGGUUCGGAACAACACAGGGAAACUUGUGCUAAUACCGGAUAAGCCCUUACGGGGAAAGAUUUAUCGCCGAAAGAUUGGCCCGCGUCUGAUUAGCUAGUUGGUGAGGUAAUGGCUCACCAAGGCGACGAUCAGUAGCUGGUCUGAGAGGACGAUCAGCCACACUGGGACUGAGACACGGCCCAG